This 71-nucleotide transfer RNA is filed under the name Candidatus Micrarchaeota archaeon CG1_02_55_22. RNAcentral describes it as "tRNA-His". It matches the Rfam family "tRNA". Rfam says of the family: Transfer RNA (tRNA) molecules are approximately 80 nucleotides in length. Their secondary structure includes four short double-helical elements and three loops (D, anti-codon, and T loops). The record is from RNAcentral. Lineage: Archaea; Nanobdellati; Microcaldota.
GCGCGUGUAGUGAAUUGGUAUCACGUGGGACUGUGGAUCCUAAGUACCGAGUUCGAUUCUCGGCCCGCGCC